UUGUACACAAAUCAGGCAAAGAUGAUUUUUUUUUGUUUUAUGUUUGAGAAGGUAAAAUAUAUAUCACAUGUCUUGUAAUUUUUCUAAGUUUACUUCCUUAUGUCUGUAGCCAGGAGGAUC
Non-coding RNA from Peromyscus maniculatus bairdii (prairie deer mouse), 120 nucleotides. The record is from RefSeq and is a predicted model, not a curated record. NCBI's taxonomy places the organism in Eukaryota, Metazoa, Chordata, Mammalia, Rodentia, Cricetidae.